Molecule: ribosomal RNA, 253 nt
Filed under: uncultured bacterium
Lineage: Bacteria
Description: partial 16S ribosomal RNA
Rfam family: Bacterial small subunit ribosomal RNA
Source: RNAcentral
UACGUAGGGUGCAAGCGUUGUCCGGAAUUAUUGGGCGUAAAGAGCUCGUAGGCGGUUUGUCGCGUCUGCUGUGAAAACUCGGGGCUUAACUCCGGGCCUGCAGUGGGUACGGGCAGACUAGAGUGCGGUAGGGGAGACUGGAAUUCCUGGUGUAGCGGUGAAAUGCGCAGAUAUCAGGAGGAACACCGGUGGCGAAGGCGGGUCUCUGGGCAACUACUGACGCUGAGGAGCGAAAGCGUGGGGAGCGAACAGG